CCUCCACCUCACCUCAGUGAGGCUAGAAUUCAAAAACAGACAGUUCUUCCAGAGAUCUGAGAAAAAGAGGGCAGAACUGGAACUAGAAGUGGUGAUCUCCGAUUUCUUUCUGGAGCCUCUGAGGGUGUCGUGUAGUUGCCCUGGUCGGGCUCUGGUGUGUCUUGUGAGGCCACCUCGCCUUUGCUGGGUUCCUAGGCUUUGCCAGGCAGACAGCUAGGCACUGCCACUCAUCAGAUUAUAGUUCGUGUUGCUCCCAAUUUAAGAUGAGGAGUCACAGUUCAGAUAGAUGAAAGAAUAUUCCCAGGAGCAUUUACUUAGUAAGUGAUAAAACCAUAUCAUUAUAUUUUCUAAUUGGCAAAUGGGGUUUAGAUUCAACACUGUUCUUUAAAAGUCUUGCAGUUCACAGUGACCAUGCCAGGCAUGUUUCGAAGAGAAUAAUGCCAUUUUUUAUGGCUAUAUUGCCACUACACUCUUCCGCUAAGUUUGGAAUGUAAUAUUUUUAUAUUGUUGUUUUCUCUUGCCAAAUUAUAUCCAUAAUAGUCUUUGAUUUGCAAACAUAAAUACUUCAACAGUGUCUUGCUACAGUGUCAUUAGUGAGCAAACAAGUCACCUGCAACCCGCAGAAAAGUCACUGUAAGUAAAAAAUGAUAAAAAUAGCACGGGACAGUAUGGACAGGCUUCUUCCUGGCUGUUGUUUUUGCUGAUAUGGAAAUGAAAUUGUGUAAACUUUGUCUGUGGGGACAUUUCAUUUAACCAGUUCUUUUCUGAGGAGGGGGAGGGGAGCAUAGUUCAUAUUUUAAGCAAUAGCAGAGGGCUGUCACCCAGAGCUGUUUGUGCAGGUGGGUGAUGUCUAGCUCACAUCUGUUGAGUACUCACUACACACAAGGGACGGGAGCCGUUCGGACAUGGAAGACCUGAUUUCUCUCCUUCAAAAGUUCCUUGUCGUGAAG
RNAcentral lists this long non-coding RNA (950 nucleotides) under Marmota monax (woodchuck). The record is from RNAcentral. Lineage: Eukaryota; Metazoa; Chordata; Mammalia; Rodentia; Sciuridae.